This 253-nucleotide ribosomal RNA is filed under the name uncultured bacterium. Its description in RNAcentral is "partial 16S ribosomal RNA". It matches the Rfam family "Bacterial small subunit ribosomal RNA", at positions 524 to 776 of the family's 1533-position model. The record is from RNAcentral.
GACAGAGGCCCCGAGCGUUAGUCGGAAUCACUGGGCUUAAAGGGUGCGUAGGCGGGCGUGUAAGUGCUUUGUGAAAGCCCUGGGCUCAACCCAGGAACCGCAGGGCAUACUGCACGUCUCGAGGUAGCUAGAGGCCGGUAGAACGAUCGGUGGAGCGGUGGAAUGCGUAGAGAUCGAUCGGAAUGCCAAGGGUGAAGACAACCGGCUGGGGCUUACCUGACGCUGAGGCACGAAAGCGUGGGGAUCAAACAGG